CAUGCAGCCGAGCGGUAGAGAUCUUUCGGGAUCUUGAGAGCGGCGUACGGGUGCGGAACACGUGUGCAACCUGCCUUUAUCAGGGGGAUAGCCUUUCGAAAGGAAGAUUAAUACCCCAUAAUAUAAGAAACGGCAUCGUUUUUUAUUGAAAACUCCGGUGGAUAGAGAUGGGCACGCGCAAGAUUAGAUAGUUGGUGAGGUAACGGCUCACCAAGUCAACGAUCUUUAGGGGGCCUGAGAGGGUGAUCCCCCACACUGGUACUGAGACACGGACCAGACUCCUACGGGAGGCAGCAGUGAGGAAUAUUGGACAAUGGGUGCGAGCCUGAUCCAGCCAUCCCGCGUGAAGGACGACGGCCCUAUGGGUUGUAAACUUCUUUUGUAUAGGGAUAAACCUACCCUCGUGAGGGUAGCUGAAGGUACUAUACGAAUAAGCACCGGCUAACUCCGUGCCAGCAGCCGCGGUAAUACGGAGGGUGCAAGCGUUAUCCGGAUUUAUUGGGUUUAAAGGGUCCGUAGGCUGAUUUGUAAGUCAGUGGUGAAAUCUCACAGCUUAACUGUGAAACUGCCAUUGAUACUGCAGGUCUUGAGUGUUGUUGAAGUAGCUGGAAUAAGUAGUGUAGCGGUGAAAUGCAUAGAUAUUACUUAGAACACCAAUUGCGAAGGCAGGUUACUAAGCAACAACUGACGCUGAUGGACGAAAGCGUGGGGAGCGAACAGGAUUAGAUACCCUGGUAGUCCACGCCGUAAACGAUGCUAACUCGUUUUUGGGGCGCAAGUUUCAGAGACUAAGCGAAAGUGAUAAGUUAGCCACCUGGGGAGUACGAACGCAAGUUUGAAACUCAGAGGAAUUGACGGGGGCCCGCACAAGCGGUGGAUUAUGUGGUUUAAUUCGAUGAUACGCGAGGAACCUUACCAAGGCUUAAAUGGGAUAUGACAGGUUUAGAAGUAGACUUUUCUUCGGACUUUUUCAAGUGCUGCAUGGUUGUCGUCAG
RNAcentral lists this ribosomal RNA (995 nucleotides) under Chryseobacterium rhizoplanae. Its description in RNAcentral is "bacterial SSU rRNA". It matches the Rfam family "Bacterial small subunit ribosomal RNA", at positions 54 to 1058 of the family's 1533-position model. The record is from RNAcentral. Lineage: Bacteria; Pseudomonadati; Bacteroidota; Flavobacteriia; Flavobacteriales; Weeksellaceae.